RNAcentral lists this ribosomal RNA (253 nucleotides) under uncultured bacterium. RNAcentral describes it as "partial 16S ribosomal RNA". It matches the Rfam family "Bacterial small subunit ribosomal RNA", at positions 524 to 776 of the family's 1533-position model. The record is from RNAcentral.
UACGUAGGGGGCAAGCGUUGUCCGGAAUCAUUGGGCGUAAAGCGCGUGUAGGCGGCUGAGUAAGUCUGCUCUGAAAGCCCGGGGCUCAACCCCGGGAGGCGGGUGGAUACUGCUCAGCUCGAGUCCGGAAGAGGAGUGUGGAAUUCCUGGUGUAGCGGUGAAAUGCGCAGAUAUCAGGAGGAACACCAAUGGCGAAGGCAGCACUCUGGGACGGUACUGACGCUGAGACGCGAAAGCGUGGGGAGCGAACAGG